This 755-nucleotide ribosomal RNA is filed under the name uncultured bacterium. RNAcentral describes it as "bacterial SSU rRNA". It matches the Rfam family "Bacterial small subunit ribosomal RNA", at positions 28 to 777 of the family's 1533-position model. The record is from RNAcentral.
GAUGAACGCUAGCGGCAGGCUUAACACAUGCAAGUCGAGGGGCAGCGUGGGGCAGCAAUGCUCUGACGGCGACCGGCGGAAGGGUGCGUAACACGUGAGCGACUUGCCCGUCACAGGGGGAUAACCGGCGGAAACGGCGACUAAUACCCCAUAUGCUGCGAUGCUGCAUGGCAUUGCAAUGAAAGAUUCAUCGGUGGCGGAUAGGCUCGCGGGACAUUAGCUAGACGGCGGGGCAACGGCCCACCGUGGCGACGAUGUCUAGGGGUUCUGAGAGGAAGACCCCCCACACUGGGACUGAGACACGGUCCAAACUCCUACGGGAGGCAGCAGUGAGGAAUAUUGGUCAAUGGACGAAAGUCUGAACCAGCCAAGUAGCGUGCAGGAUGACGGCCCUCUGGGUUGUAAACUGCUUUUAGUUGGGAAUAAAAAGAGGGACGUGUCCCUUAUUGUAUGUACCAUCAGAAAAAGGACCGGCUAAUUCCGUGCCAGCAGCCGCGGUAAUACGGAAGGUCCAGGCGUUAUCCGGAUUUAUUGGGUUUAAAGGGAGCGCAGGCGGCGGCGUAAGUCAGUUGUGAAAUCGUGCGGCUUAACCGUGCAAUUGCAGUUGAUACUGCGUCGCUUGAGUGCACACAGGGAUGUUGGAAUUCAUGGUGUAGCGAUGAAAUGCUUAGAUAUCACGAAGAACUCCGAUUGCGAAGGCAGCCUGCUAAGCUGCAACUGACAUUGAGGCUCGAAAGUGUGGGUAUCAAACCAGG